CACCGCUAUCUUGUGAUAGCCUUGGGUUAAUCUUAGUUUUAACAUAAUUUUAAGUCUUAACUUGCAUGCAAUUUACUUAAUAGGUGACACUUCCCCAUCGGUAGGGGAAAUGCACAAGGUAUUUUGCAUCAAAGAGGGUGUAUCACCCUUGGAGAUGCUGGGAAGUGGAGAUAUUCUUGAGAAAUUCAAGAGUUUUUUACUUCUCUACUCUACUAAGUAUCUUUAAGAGUGAGAGACUCUCAUAGAUACUGUAGAGUACAACAUUCACGCCUGGCGGUCCUUAGUUUAGUGAUAAGUUCAAUCUAUGAUUAGCAACUAUUUAUCAUCAUUUUUUGAUACUUUAAAAUUAGAGAUAUUCUUGAGAAAUUCAAGGGUUCUCUAAUGAGUAUCAUUGAGAGUAAGAAACUCUUAUUGAUACUGUCUUGUACAAACAUACACUCCUGUUGAUUCAGGUAUUCUCUUAGUUCAGUCCAAGUUAAGAUUUGUAACUGUUUAUCUACAUUAUAUAAAAUUGCUUUGUUUUGUAAGUGCUUUACAAGUUUGUUGCAGCUUAGCCUACCAAAUGAAUCCAAGUGCACCAUUGUAGAUAUUUUUUAAAAGCAGGAUUGAUGAACAACUAAACAAACAAUAUUGUGGAGAUACAUGUGAAUUAUAAUGGAGAUGCCACCAGCUAUUCAAUGCAUUGGAGAGCAGCUCUACUACCAAAGUGGAGAUGUGGAUCACUGGAUGUGGAUUGAUGAACAACUAAACAAACAAUAUUGUGGAGAUACAUGUGAAUUAUAAUGGAGAUGCCACCAGCUAUUCAAUGCAUUGGAGAGCAGCUCUACUACCAAAGUGGAGAUGUGGAUCACUGGAUGUGGUAUGAGAUAUCUGUUAUUUAUAUUUUCAGUAGUCUAGACAGGAUAGAAUUCUCUAACACUUCCCUAUUCUAACACAGAUAUCAAGCUAGGGCCGGGAUGUUUAUGGUGGUUACUAUUAUGACACAGUUCAUCCCGACCCCUUCGGCAGUGCCUUGUUCUAUCCGGUUGGUUCUGAGUCCAAUGGGUGCUUUCAAGUUAGAGUCAACUGACCUGCAGAUCGCAUUUCCGCGUGCCAACAACUGGACGAACAUGUGCUACUGUUAGAUUGUGGUUUAUGGAUGGCUGUGGAGUAAGAAAAUCACCUUGAAUAGGGUUUGAGUUGUCAGGGUCCCUGUAGGAUAUUUGCAGUUGUCAGUCGACUAUUACAUUUCUGAUCAGUGCCCUUUGUGGUGGUGCCACAGCUUUUUCAUGAUGGUUGCGGGCUCAGUACAGCACUAAUUUGAUGAGCAGGUGGUACUGUUACACUGUGGCCUGGUCUGACUUGUUCUAUGAGACUGGCGAUGCAAAUAUUAGAUUGUAGUGCCUUCAGCAAACUUAGGGAUGGGGGUGUGAGAAUUAUCUGUCUUAAGAAUUAGAAUUAAGAAAAAUACGUUUAUAUCUGAGGCUGGAGUAAUAUUAAGUAUAGCCUCUAGCCUUUGCUAGUUGGCGGGGUGAAGCCUCUAGCCUUUGCUAGUUGGCGGGGUUAAGCCUCUAGCCUUUGCUAGUUGGCGGGGUGAAGCCUCUAGCCUUUGCUAGUUGGCGGGGUGAAGCCUCUAGCCUUUGCUAGUUGGCGGGGAGAAUGGAAAUCACCGCUAUCUUGUGAUAGCCUUGGGUUAAUCUUAGUUUUAACAUAAUUUUAAGUCUUAACUUGCAUGCAAUUUACUUAAUAGGUGACACUUCCCCAUCGGUAGGGGAAAUGCACAAGGUAUUUUGCAUCAAAGAGGGUGUAUCACCCUUGGAGAUGCUGGGAAGUGGAGAUAUUCUUGAGAAAUUCAAGAGUUUUUUACUUCUCUACUCUACUAAGUAUCUUUAAGAGUGAGAGACUCUCAUAGAUACUGUAGAGUACAACAUUCACGCCUGGCGGUCCUUAGUUUAGUGAUAAGUUCAAUCUAUGAUUAGCAACUAUUUAUCAUCAUUUUUUGAUACUUUAAAAUUAGAGAUAUUCUUGAGAAAUUCAAGGGUUCUCUAAUGAGUAUCAUUGAGAGUAAGAAACUCUUAUUGAUACUGUCUUGUACAAACAUACACUCCUGUUGAUUCAGGUAUUCUCUUAGUUCAGUCCAAGUUAAGAUUUGUAACUGUUUAUCUACAUUAUAUAAAAUUGCUUUGUUUUGUAAGUGCUUUACAAGUUUGUUGCAGCUUAGCCUACCAAAUGAAUCCAAGUGCACCAUUGUAGAUAUUUUUUAAAAGCAGGAUUGAUGAACAACUAAACAAACAAUAUUGUGGAGAUACAUGUGAAUUAUAAUGGAGAUGCCACCAGCUAUUCAAUGCAUUGGAGAGCAGCUCUACUACCAAAGUGGAGAUGUGGAUCACUGGAUGUGGUAUGAGAUAUCUGUUAUUUAUAUUUUCAGUAGUCUAGACAGGUUAGAAUUCUCUAACACUUCCCUAUUCUAACACAGAUAUCAAGCUAGGGCCGGGAUGUUUAUGGUGGUUACUAUUAUGACACAGUUCAUCCCGACCCCUUCGGCAGUGCCUUGUUCUAUCCGGUUGGUUCUGAGUCCAAUGGGUGCUUUCAAGUUAGAGUCAACUGACCUGCAGAUCGCAUUUCCGCGUGCCAACAACUGGACGAACAUGUGCUACUGUUAGAUUGUGGUUUAUGGAUGGCUGUGGAGUAAGAAAAUCACCUUGAAUAGGGUUUGAGUUGUCAGGGUCCCUGUAGGAUAUUUGCAGUUGUCAGUCGACUAUUACAUUUCUGAUCAGUGCCCUUUGUGGUGGUGCCACAGCUUUUUCAUGAUGGUUGCGGGCUCAGUACAGCACUAAUUUGAUGAGCAGGUGGUACUGUUACACUGUGGCCUGGUCUGACUUGUUCUAUGAGACUGGCGAUGCAAAUAUUAGAUUGUAGUGCCUUCAGCAAACUUAGGGAUGGGGGUGUGAGAAUUAUCUGUCUUAAGAAUUAGAAUUAAGAAAAAUACGUUUAUAUCUGAGGCUGGAGUGAUAUUAAGUAUAGUCUCUAGCCUUUGCUAGUUGGCGGGGUGAAGCCUCUAGCCUUUGCUAGUUGGCGGGGUGAAGCCUCUAGCCUUUGCUAGUUGGCGGGGAGAAUGGAAAUCACCGCUAUCUUGUGAUAGCCUUGGGUUAAUCUUAGUUUUAACAUAAUUUUAAGUCUUAACUUGCAUGCAAUUUACUUAAUAGGUGACACUUCCCCAUCGGUAGGGGAAAUGCACAAGGUAUUUUGCAUCAAAGAGGGUGUAUCACCCUUGGAGAUGCUGGGAAGUGGAGAUAUUCUUGAGAAAUUCAAGAGUUUUUUACUUCUCUACUCUACUAAGUAUCUUUAAGAGUGAGAGACUCUCAUAGAUACUGUAGAGUACAACAUUCACGCCUGGCGGUCCUUAGUUUAGUGAUAAGUUCAAUCUAUGAUUAGCAACUAUUUAUCAUCAUUUUUUGAUACUUUAAAAUUAGAGAUAUUCUUGAGAAAUUCAAGGGUUCUCUAAUGAGUAUCAUUGAGAGUAAGAAACUCUUAUUGAUACUGUCUUGUACAAACAUACACUCCUGUUGAUUCAGGUAUUCUCUUAGUUCAGUCCAAGUUAAGAUUUGUAACUGUUUAUCUACAUUAUAUAAAAUUGCUUUGUUUUGUAAGUGCUUUACAAGUUUGUUGCAGCUUAGCCUACCAAAUGAAUCCAAGUGCACCAUUGUAGAUAUUUUUUAAAAGCAGGAUUGAUGAACAACUAAACAAACAAUAUUGUGGAGAUACAUGUGAAUUAUAAUGGAGAUGCCACCAGCUAUUCAAUGCAUUGGAGAGCAGCUCUACUACCAAAGUGGAGAUGUGGAUCACUGGAUGUGGUAUGAGAUAUCUGUUAUUUAUAUUUUCAGUAGUCUAGACAGGUUAGAAUUCUCUAACACUUCCCUAUUCUAACACAGAUAUCAAGCUAGGGCCGGGAUGUUUAUGGUGGUUACUAUUAUGACACAGUUCAUCCCGACCCCUUCGGCAGUGCCUUGUUCUAUCCGGUUGGUUCUGAGUCCAAUGGGUGCUUUCAAGUUAGAGUCAACUGACCUGCAGAUCGCAUUUCCGCGUGCCAACAACUGGACGAACAUGUGCUACUGUUAGAUUGUGGUUUAUGGAUGGCUGUGGAGUAAGAAAAUCACCUUGAAUAGGGUUUGAGUUGUCAGG
This is a long non-coding RNA of Nilaparvata lugens (brown planthopper), 4161 nucleotides long. RefSeq lists it as uncharacterized. The transcript is spliced from 5 exons. The record is from RefSeq and is a predicted model, not a curated record. Lineage: Eukaryota; Metazoa; Arthropoda; Insecta; Hemiptera; Delphacidae.